GACUAUUGGAAAUAGAUUCCUAGGCUCUUUCAUCAAUGAAGAACGUAGUGAAAUGUGAUACUUGGUGUGAAUUGCAAAGUCAUGUGAACCAUCGAGUAUUUGAACGCAAGUUGCACUCGAUGCCAUUAAGUUGAGGCCAUGUCUGCCUGAGUGUCA
Molecule: ribosomal RNA, 156 nt
Filed under: Cicer arietinum (chickpea)
Lineage: Eukaryota; Viridiplantae; Streptophyta; Magnoliopsida; Fabales; Fabaceae
Description: 5.8S ribosomal RNA
Rfam family: 5.8S ribosomal RNA
About the family: 5.8S ribosomal RNA (5.8S rRNA) is a component of the large subunit of the eukaryotic ribosome.
Source: Rfam by way of RNAcentral